GUGACGAAGCGACGCCGCGUGGGUGAGGAAGGCCUUCGGGUUGUAAAGCCCUGUCAGGAGUUAAGAAAUAUAAGUGCGCUAAUAUCGCAUUUAUUUGACGAAGGCUCCAAAGGAAGCCACGGCUAACUCUGUGCCAGCAGCCGCGGUAAUACAGAGGUGGCAAGCGUUGUUCGGAAUUAUUGGGCGUAAAGAGCACGUAGGUGGGUUUGUAAGUCAGAUGUGAAAGCCUCCUGUUCAACGGGAGAAUUGCAUCUGAAACUGCAAGUCUUGAGUGUAGGAGGGGAGAAUGGAACUUCUGGUGGAGCGGUGAAAUGCGUAGAUAUCAGAAGGAACGCCGGCGGCGAAAGUGAUUCUCUGGCCUAUUACUGACACUCAGUGUGCGAAAGCUAGGGGAGCAAACGGGAUUAGAUACCCCGGUAGUCCUAGCCGUAAACGAU
RNAcentral lists this ribosomal RNA (437 nucleotides) under uncultured Planctomycetota bacterium. RNAcentral describes it as "bacterial SSU rRNA". It matches the Rfam family "Bacterial small subunit ribosomal RNA", at positions 383 to 810 of the family's 1533-position model. Lineage: Bacteria; Pseudomonadati; Planctomycetota. The record is from RNAcentral.